UACGUAGGGACCGAGCGUUGUCCGGAAUCAUUGGGCGUAAAGAGCGUGUAGGCGGCCACUUAAGUCCUGCGUGAAAUCUUGCGGCUCAACCGCAAGCGGUCGUGGGAAACUGGGUGGCUAGAGUGCGGGAGAGGAGAGUGGAAUUCCUGGUGUAGCGGUGGAAUGCGCAGAUAUCAGGAAGAACACCGGUGGCGAAGGCGGGUCUCUGGGCCGUAACUGACGCUGAGGAGCGAAAGCGUGGGGAGCGAACAGG
This 253-nucleotide ribosomal RNA is filed under the name uncultured bacterium. RNAcentral's name for it is "partial 16S ribosomal RNA". It matches the Rfam family "Bacterial small subunit ribosomal RNA", at positions 524 to 776 of the family's 1533-position model. The record is from RNAcentral.